Chiloscyllium plagiosum (whitespotted bambooshark) is the source of this 73-nucleotide non-coding RNA. Lineage: Eukaryota; Metazoa; Chordata; Chondrichthyes; Orectolobiformes; Hemiscylliidae. The record is from the annotation of a RefSeq genome assembly.
GCCGGGGUGGCUCAGUCGGUAGAGCAUCAGACUUUUAAUCUGAGGGGUCAGGGUUUAAGUCCCUGAUCCAAUG